AGCCAGAGUCAUCUAAGAGGAGGAAACCUCAAUUGAAAAAAAAAUGCCUCUUUACUUUCAAACUGUUAGGAGUUUUCUUAAUUAAUGAUUGAUGUGGGAGGGCACAGCCCAUGGUUAUUGGUACCAUCUCUAGGCUUGUGGUCCUGGGGUUUAUAAGAAAGCAGGCUGAGCUUACCAUGAUGAACAAGCCAGUAAGUUGCCUCACUCCAUUGGCUCAGUCCAGUAAUAUAAAAAAUUAUGAGACUGAAGCAAACAAAUUGUCGUGAGCUUGAGGGCAGCCUGGGUUACAUAGUAAACAUGCUUGUUGGGAAAUGGCUUUUUUAUAACUAUAUAACCAUGAAAAUACAGAUGUAAUCUGUUUAUGAAUUAAGGCCCAGUAAGAUGAGGCCUGGUAAAACACUAGGAAAGUACUUUUGUGGUUAUCAAGGGAAAAUAAAUAAAAAUAAUAAUCACUAUUUUCAAUAAAUAAAGGCAACCAUUUAAUGUUUAUAUUUACUCUAUUUAUUCUUAAUUAGACCCAUGAACUAUUAUGUUUAAUGAACUUAAUUUUCUUUCAGGCAUAUUAAUCAGAUUUAGAUUGUUCAAAGCAGCGGUAUAGAGUUUUCCUGUGAAAUUGUCAAUAGGCAAUUAUUUAUUUUUUUGCCUAAAAUUUUUCUACAAUGCAAAUAAAACCUCUGACACUUUUAUUUUGCUAUAUUUUUUAUUUAUAAUUUUAUAGAGUUAAUGAAAGUAAUGAUAUAUGUCAUUGAUAUUAACUUUCUCUCUAUAUAUGCAUAUAUAUGUGUAUAUGUGUGUGUGUGUGUGUGAGUUUGUGUGUGCUAUUAAAAUUACAAUGAAUAUUUACCUUUUCCAUACAUAGGAUUUCUGGUCAACUAUAAAUUUUUUCUUUCUCAUUGUAACACAGGUAUUUCAUUAUUGAAAAACUAUCAUCAAUGAAUGUCAAGAUUUAAAAGAAUCUUUCUUUUAAGGAAUGGAUCUGAAAACAGAAGGGAUAAAUCAAUUGGACUGGGUGUGAUUUCUUUCAUUUGUAACCAUGACUUGUCAGGAUAAUCCAGGAAUAUUUUACUCACGGAGUCAAGUAUUUGAAAGGCUCAGUGUUUCUGGUUUUAUGUUGAUGUCUAUGAUCUAUUUGGACUUGAGUUUUCUUCAAAGUAAUAGAUAUGGAUCUAUUUGCAUUCUUCUACAUGCAGAUGUCCAAGAAGGCCAGCACCAUUUGUUGAAGAUACUUUCUGUUUUCCAUUGUAUAAUUUUGGCUUCUUUGUCAAAAGUCAAGUGUCCAUAGCCAUUUCUAGGAUUCACUCAACAGGACAGAAAUCAUGCCUGGUACUGGAAACCCAUCUAACUUCUCCUGGCUAUUGAGGCCAUGGCUCAUAGAAAAAGAAUCUACAGCCUCUGUUUGCUAGACCAGCAUAAUUAAUUACUACAUUCUAAAUCUUAUCCUUAUUACUUACAAAGUCCUUCUCUUUUGCCAAAGGAAGCUGUGAACUGUCCAGAUGCCGCUUCACACCACCUGACCUGGUCUUCACCAUCCAAGUGAGACUGCGACCUUCCUCUCUCUUCUAAUAUGUGGUCACAUCUGCAGACAAAAUGCCAUACCUUAGGGUUUUCCUCAAAGCAUCCUACCAUCUACGACAACAGCUGCACAGUACCCUGCAACUGUAUAAUGUACAAUUUCCAAAUAUUGACCAAGCUACUUAAUAAUCAAUUGCAUGGUCUCAUUCAACCUAUUUAAUUCAUUAACAGUCAUUUUCUCCAUUUCAUCAUAACUUUAAUAAUACUGUUUAUAGAUUAUGAUAAUUAUAAAUGUUAAAGAAUUAAUGUAAAAUGUAUCAUUAUUGACCAGUUAAUGAGUAAAUAAAUAGUUGGGAAUUUGCAAAGUUGCUUUCUUCAUGUGUUGUCAUUAAAAUAUAAUAUUACUAAAGUUUACAAUUCUCAUUAACUUGUGUAAUUCUAUGUGUGAAGAAUAAAAAUAUAAAUCAGGCUUUUGUGAGAAAUCUUUUAAAAAAGUAUGAAAGAUUUUUAUUAAAUGAGAAUAUUUUGUACAAAUUCAGAAAAAUUUUAAGUUUUAUUUUAAAAUAUAAAUUUAAACAUGUUAAAACUAAAUAGUAAAUAGAAAAGAAAGAUAUAAGAAAACUACAGAAAUGGAAUAUGUUUUGGUAAGAUAGGAUAAAGAGGAAAGUGCCAUUUUAUAAAUAAAUAAGAUAGUUCUCCUUAAGGAAAAGGACUAAACUAUGUUAAGUGGGAAAAAGUCAAGAUAGAACCCACAGUAAGAUUACAAAAUUCAAAAUUGAGUGAAUCACAGACUUUUGGAGGAAAAUCCUAAAAAAGUUUAUAUGAAUUAAUUAAUGAUUUAAAGAAUUUUGUCAGGCUGACAUUAAUUGUACUAAUUCAACAAAUGAAAACUCAUACAUUUACAAUAGCAAAGUCUUAAGUUUUUAUCUGAUCCCAGUAAUUAUCAGAAAGUCCAGACUUGUGUUCUUUGUAAAUAAAUGUUUAUACUUGUUUUCUGAAUACC
Alexandromys fortis (reed vole) is the source of this 2515-nucleotide long non-coding RNA. RefSeq lists it as uncharacterized. NCBI's taxonomy places the organism in Eukaryota, Metazoa, Chordata, Mammalia, Rodentia, Cricetidae. The record is from RefSeq and is a predicted model, not a curated record. The transcript has 5 exons.